AUAAAGAAAUAAUUUGGCAUAACUUUUAGUUGAAAAUGCCGUCUCGAAUUCUAGAUCCCGAGGCUGUUGUGCAGCGAAGCGAAGAUGGAUUGAAACCGAAUUAUAAACCUUUAACAGAAAAGGAUGCUCCUGAAGAUAGUUCAGAAAUCAAAGUAUCAAAAAAAUGGUGCAAGAAAAUGGGGAUGCCCAUGUAGAUGAGGCAGCGGAGAAGAUGCUGUCUAAUGCAGAAGGAGCUGAAGUGAAAUUUAUUUCUGGGGAUCGCACAAAUGGGGAUGCUAAAGUUGAUGUGGAAUGUUUGCAACAGGUUUUCACAGGAAUGGGUAA
Molecule: long non-coding RNA, 324 nt
Organism: Ctenocephalides felis (cat flea)
Lineage: Eukaryota; Metazoa; Arthropoda; Insecta; Siphonaptera; Pulicidae
Exons: 3
Source: RefSeq, a predicted model, not a curated record